This 74-nucleotide transfer RNA is filed under the name Candidatus Uhrbacteria bacterium RIFCSPHIGHO2_01_FULL_47_11. Its description in RNAcentral is "tRNA-Pro". Lineage: Bacteria; Candidatus Uhriibacteriota. The record is from RNAcentral. RNAcentral also lists the same sequence under 5 other names.
CGGGGUGUGGCCCAGAAGCCUAAGGCGCUUGCAUGGGGUGCAAGAGAUCGGCGGUGCGAAUCCGCCCACCCCGA